UAGAAAUAUUCACAUCUUCGGAGAUGAGGAGUAAAAUUCAGUUUUUGUCCAGUUCCUCUUUUGUGCUGCUUCUCAAUUAGCGUUUAAGAUGAUUUUUUGAAAGUUAACAUUAAUGUCUGCUUUUUGGAAAGUCAGAAUCAGAAGAUAGUCUUGGAAGCUGUUUGGAAAAGACAGUGGAGAUGAGGGCCUAGGUCAUGACUCUCCAGGCCUUCACUGUGCCACACUCACAGAUGACAGGGCUUGCGGUACCAAAGGCUCUUUAUCUUCCAGACUACAGCUCCUAUUACUG
Molecule: small RNA, 289 nt
Filed under: Pan troglodytes (chimpanzee)
Lineage: Eukaryota; Metazoa; Chordata; Mammalia; Primates; Hominidae
Description: processed transcript
Source: RNAcentral